AAUGCUUAGGAAUCUGCCUAUUAGUGGGGGACAACGUUCCGAAAGGAACGCUAAUACCGCAUACGCCCUAAGGGGGAAGGCAGGGGAUCUUCGGACCUUGCGCUAAUAGAUGAGCCUAAGUCAGAUUAGCUAGUUGGUGGGGUAAAGGCCUACCAAGGCGACGAUCUGUAGCGGGUCUGAGAGGAUGAUCCGCCACACUGGGACUGAGACACGGCCCAGACUCCUACGGGAGGCAGCAGUGGGGAAUAUUGGACAAUGGGCGGAAGCCUGAUCCAGCCAUGCCGCGUGUGUGAAGAAGGCCUUUUGGUUGUAAAGCACUUUAAGCGAGGAGGAGGCUACUGGUAUUAAUACUACUGGAUAGUGGACGUUACUCGCAGAAUAAGCACCGGCUAACUCUGUGCCAGCAGCCGCGGUAAUACAGAGGGUGCGAGCGUUAAUCGGAUUUACUGGGCGUAAAGCGUACGUAGGUGGUCUUUUAAGUCGGAUGUGAAAUCCCUGAGCUUAACUUAGGAAUUGCAUUCGAUACAGGGAGACUAGAGUAUGGGAGAGGAUGGUAGAAUUCCAGGUGUAGCGGUGAAAUGCGUAGAGAUCUGGAGG
RNAcentral lists this ribosomal RNA (597 nucleotides) under uncultured bacterium. RNAcentral's name for it is "bacterial SSU rRNA". It matches the Rfam family "Bacterial small subunit ribosomal RNA", at positions 112 to 704 of the family's 1533-position model. The record is from RNAcentral.